CAAGACUGAGGAAAAAGGUUUAAUACAGAUGGGCUGCAAGCCUGCAAUCAGUGAAAAAGGGCUUCUGUUCUGAGCAAGUUCUACCAAUUACCCGAAGAAGGAGUUUUAUCCUGUAUGCUUUCAGCAUCCAAACUACCACCCCUCAAAGUCUACAGAAAAGCUUCACUAACUUCAGAAGGCAUUCACGAUCUAUCCCAGUGAAGAUCUUCAGAUCUGAUAUACGUACACCCUCUCCCUUCGCAACAACAAGCACACUGAAAAGGGAUAGGACUUAGGCAGAGCAAAGAAUUCUUGCAAAAUGUCUUGGAAAAGAUAACUCAGACCACUGGAGUGAAAUGACAUAUUUUCUUUAGAUAAUAAUAAAAUGUGUCCCUAAAAUGUCA
RNAcentral lists this long non-coding RNA (383 nucleotides) under Crocodylus porosus (Australian saltwater crocodile). RNAcentral describes it as "lncRNA (ENSCPRG00005005141.1)". The record is from RNAcentral. Lineage: Eukaryota; Metazoa; Chordata; Crocodylia; Crocodylidae.